GCUGGGCACAGUGGUGCAUGCCUGUAAUCCGAGUAACUCAGGAGGCUAAGGCACGUGGAUUGCAAGUUCAAAGCCUGCCUUAG
This 83-nucleotide small RNA is filed under the name Marmota monax (woodchuck). Lineage: Eukaryota; Metazoa; Chordata; Mammalia; Rodentia; Sciuridae. The record is from RNAcentral.